RNAcentral lists this ribosomal RNA (509 nucleotides) under uncultured bacterium. Its description in RNAcentral is "bacterial SSU rRNA". It matches the Rfam family "Bacterial small subunit ribosomal RNA", at positions 15 to 518 of the family's 1533-position model. The record is from RNAcentral.
GAUUCUGGCUCAGGAUGAACGCUAGCGACAGGCUAACACAUGCAAGUCGAGGGGCAGCAUAAAAGUAGCAAUACUUGGUGGCGACCGGCGCACGGGUGAGUAACGCGUAUGCAACCUACCUAUCAGAGGGGAAUAACCCGGCGAAAGUCGGACUAAUACCGCAUAAAACAGGGGCACCGCAUGGUGAUAUUUGUUAAAGAAAUUCGCUGAUAGAUGGGCAUGCGUUCCAUUAGGUAGUUGGUGAGGUAACGGCUCACCAAGCCGACGAUGGAUAGGGGAACUGAGAGGUUGGUCCCCCACACUGGUACUGAGACACGGACCAGACUCCUACGGGAGGCAGCAGUGAGGAAUAUUGGUCAAUGGGCGGGAGCCUGAACCAGCCAAGUCGCGUGAAGGAAGAAGGAUCUAUGGUUCGUAAACUUCUUUUGCAGGGGAAUAAAGUGCAGGACGUGUCCUGUUUUGUAUGUACCCUGAGAAUAAGGAUCGGCUAACUCCGUGCCAGCCGCCGC